Molecule: ribosomal RNA, 458 nt
Filed under: uncultured Anoxybacillus sp.
Lineage: Bacteria; Bacillati; Bacillota; Bacilli; Caryophanales; Anoxybacillaceae
Description: bacterial SSU rRNA
Rfam family: Bacterial small subunit ribosomal RNA
Source: RNAcentral
GCACAAGCGGUGGAGCAUGUGGUUUAAUUCGAAGCAACGCGAAGAACCUUACCAGGUCUUGACAUCCCUGACAACCCGAGAGAUCGGGCGUUCCCCUUCGGGGGACAGGGUGACAGGUGGUGCAUGGUUGUCGUCAGCUCGUGUCGUGAGAUGUUGGGUUAAGUCCCGCAACGAGCGCAACCCUCGACCUUAGUUGCCAGCAUUCAGUUGGGCACUCUAAGGUGACUGCCGGCUAAAACUCGGAGGAAGGUGGGGAUGACGUCAAAUCAUCAUGCCCCUUAUGUUCUGGGCUACACACGUGCUACAAUGGCUGGUACAAAGAGACGCAAGACGGUGACGUGGAGCAAAUCUCAAAAACCAGUCCCAGUUCGGAUUGUAGGCUGCAACUCGCCUACAUGAAGUUGGAGUUGCUAGUAAUCGCGAAUCAGAAUGUCGCGGUGAAUGCGUUCCCGGGUCUU